UGGGGAAUAUUGCACAAUGGGCGCAAGCCUGAUGCAGCCAUGCCGCGUGUAUGAAGAAGGCCUUCGGGUUGUAAAGUACUUUCAGCGGGGAGGAAGGGAGUAAAGUUAAUACCUUUGCUCAUUGACGUUACCUGCAGAAGAAGCACCGGCUAACUCCGUGCCAGCAGCCGCGGUAAUACGGAGGGUGCAAGCGUUAAUCGGAAUUACUGGGCGUAAAGCGCACGCAGGCGGUUUGUUAAGUCAGAUGUGAAAUCCUCGGGCUCAACCUGGGAGGUGCAUCUGAUAUUGGCAAGUUUGAGUCUCGUAGAGGGAGGUAGAAUUCCAGUUGUAGCGGUGAAAUGCGUAGAGAUCUGGAGGAAUACCGGUGGCGAAGGCUGCCCCCUGGACGAAGUCUGACGCUCAGGUGCGAAAGCGUGGGGAGCAAACAGG
Molecule: ribosomal RNA, 429 nt
Filed under: Chloroflexota bacterium
Lineage: Bacteria; Bacillati; Chloroflexota
Description: Chloroflexi bacterium partial 16S ribosomal RNA
Rfam family: Bacterial small subunit ribosomal RNA
Source: RNAcentral